Molecule: ribosomal RNA, 253 nt
Filed under: uncultured bacterium
Lineage: Bacteria
Description: partial 16S ribosomal RNA
Rfam family: Bacterial small subunit ribosomal RNA
Source: RNAcentral
AACGUAGGACGCGAGCGUUAUCCGGAGUUACUGGGCGUAAAGCGCGGGCAGGCGGUCUGACAAGUCUGAUGUGAAAUCUCCGGGCUUAACCGGGAGAGGCCAUUGGAAACUGACAGGCUGGAGGGCAGUAGAGGUAGGCGGAAUUCCGGGUGGAGUGGUGAAAUGCGUAGAGAUCCGGAGGAACACCAGAGGCGAAGGCGGCUUCCUGGCCUGUUCUUGACGCUGAGGCGCGAAAGCUAGGGGAGCAAACGGG